UUACGCUGAUACGCGUUAGAGGAUCAACAAAAACGCUGAUAUCCCAAAUCAGUUCCAAAAUUUUGUCUCCCAAAAGUCUCACCUGCCAAAUUUCAGUAAAUCUUUCUAUAUGGCGAUGGCGAUGGCGAUGGCGAUGGAGCCGGAGAAAAGUUCCAACUUUUUUAACUCCAUACGCUGAUACGCGUUAGAGGAGAAGUAACAAAAACCCUGAUAUCCCCAGUCGGUUCCAAAAUUUUCUCUCACCUGCCAUAUUUCAGUCAAUCUUUCAACUUCAAUAUGGCGACGGUGGGCGACGGCGAUAGAGCCGGAAAAAAAGUUCCUUAAGAGGUCUUUCCUGCCAGAUCUAAAUGAAGAACCUCAGAAUGAUCUGCAGGCAGUGCAAAAUAAUUCAACUGAAGUAUCAGAACUGAGCACUCAUCAACGUGGGAAUUCUGCUACCAUUGGGAUAUCAGAGACUGAACAAAUGCUGAAACAGAAAACCGAUUCUAGGUCUGAAACCAAGCACUUGAUAUCGUUGUUGCAUUCAAGAACUUCUGAUAAUGAUGUUGUUGAAAGGGGUGGAGCAAAGCCUCCUCCUUUCAGUUCGCCAUCUCUUACUUAAGGCUUGAAGCAUCAACAACAAUUGGCUCUCUGAAAAAACGUAAACAUGGAAACGAGAGGAAUAACUUCCAUGCUGCUGUUUUCACUUCAAGAGUCGGAUCUUGAAGAGGAGAUUGUGUCACCUGCUAAGCUUACAAACGCCUACAAAGAUAGCACCAUUGGCACUAUGGAUACCCUUCACAUUUCAUUAAUGAGUGGUUGCAAGUGGAGAUUUACAGCAUGAGAAAGGGUUCCUGGGAGUUCAUCGCUCAAAGGUUUCCAUGGCGGGUCAGACGGAUUCAUGAUGACGACAUCGUUUGCGCAGAUGUCCAUGUUCAUUGGCUUACUUGUAUUCGUGGGAAUUCAGACACAAUAGUGGCGUUUGAUUUGGGUUCAAAGACAUUCCGUGUGAUACUUCUUCCACAUCCUACAUAUGGCCGCUCGAAAUCUUUAAGAGUUUUGGAUAAAAAGCAUUGUGUGAUUCUUAUGGAUGUGUUUGACGUGGUGAUGGAUGAGUAUGAGGUGGUUGAAUCAUCGUUCAUGAAUGGCCAUGUCUUUUCACAGUUUAUUGAUGAUGAUACAUAUCCGUUUGAAUUCACAUUACACGAUGAGUUUCUUGCCAAAAAUACCUAUAAUUGUCAUGUUUUUUACGACCCAAUUGCAAACGAGGUUAAAAUGUUGGAGAAUGAUUGUUCAUAUGGAGAAUAUGGCAAGGAUAAAAUUGUGGAGUA
Molecule: long non-coding RNA, 1310 nt
Organism: Lactuca sativa (garden lettuce)
Lineage: Eukaryota; Viridiplantae; Streptophyta; Magnoliopsida; Asterales; Asteraceae
Source: RefSeq, a predicted model, not a curated record